GAUGAACGCUGGCGGCGUGCCUAAUACAUGCAAGUCGAGCGAACGUACGAGAAGCUUGCUUCUCUGAUGUUAGCGGCGGACGGGUGAGUAACACGUGGAUAACCUACCUAUAAGACUGGGAUAACUUCGGGAAACCGGAGCUAAUACCUGAUAAUAUUUUGAACCGCAUGGUUCAACAGUGAAAGACGGUCUUGCUGUCACUUAUAGAUGGAUCCGCGCUGCAUUAGCUAGUUGGUAAGGUAACGGCUUACCAAGGCAACAAUGCAUAGCCGACCUGAGAGGGUGAUGGGCCACACGGGAACUGGGAAACGCUCCAGACUCCUACGGGGGGCAGAAGUAGGGAAUCUUCCGCAAUGGGCGAAAGCCUGACGGAGAACCGCCGCGUGAGUGAUGAAGGUCUUCGGAUCGUAAAACUCUGUUAUUAGGGAAGAACAUAUGUGUAAGUAACUGUGCACAUCUUGACGGUACCUAAUCAGAAAGCCACGGCUAACUACGUG
RNAcentral lists this ribosomal RNA (497 nucleotides) under uncultured bacterium. RNAcentral's name for it is "partial 16S ribosomal RNA". It matches the Rfam family "Bacterial small subunit ribosomal RNA", at positions 28 to 507 of the family's 1533-position model. The record is from RNAcentral.